Molecule: small nuclear RNA, 120 nt
Filed under: Erythranthe guttata (spotted monkey flower)
Lineage: Eukaryota; Viridiplantae; Streptophyta; Magnoliopsida; Lamiales; Phrymaceae
Description: Mimulus guttatus (spotted monkey flower) U5 spliceosomal RNA
Rfam family: U5 spliceosomal RNA
About the family: U5 RNA is a component of both types of known spliceosome. The precise function of this molecule is unknown, though it is known that the 5' loop is required for splice site selection and p220 binding, and that both the 3' stem-loop and the Sm site are important for Sm protein binding and cap methylation.
Source: Rfam by way of RNAcentral
AGCUGCGCGGUAAGCACAUAUCGAACUAUUCUUUCGCCUUUUACUAAAGAAUACCAUGUGUUUGCCGCUUUGCAAGCAGCAUACGCCUCUUUUUAGAGGGUUAUUUCCUCUUAAGGAAUU